Small nucleolar RNA from Humulus lupulus (European hop), 106 nucleotides. The record is from RefSeq and is a predicted model, not a curated record. Lineage: Eukaryota; Viridiplantae; Streptophyta; Magnoliopsida; Rosales; Cannabaceae.
AGGCAUGGUGGGGCCACUGAUUUAACUUAUCUUUGAAUCUUUCCCAAACUUGAUAGAACGUUUCAUUGUCUUUUUGGAAAAAUGUUGAAAUAUGUAUUUUUAGACU